This 10957-nucleotide long non-coding RNA is filed under the name Arabidopsis thaliana (thale cress). RNAcentral's name for it is "long non-coding RNA (ATHA_LNC000378)". Lineage: Eukaryota; Viridiplantae; Streptophyta; Magnoliopsida; Brassicales; Brassicaceae. The record is from RNAcentral.
AUAGAACCUAAAGGCCCAUAGAUGUAAACCCUAAGCUAUAAAUAAAAGACUUCGUCUUUGAUUUCGCCGCAAGAUAUUAUCUUCACGAAAAGAUCCGAUUUUUUUGUUCUGAUUUUCUGUUAAAAUCUGAAUUUUUCGCUACGAAAUCUUAGGUUAAGAAUAGCAUAUAAGGAACAGAUUUGUGAUAGGAGUCUUUAAGCUUAGCACUCAUGUAUAGCUUAAAAGAAAUCUUAUGUUCCGAUGCUAAAUCAAACAUCUUCAUUGAUGGUUUGGAGUCUCUGGACAUGUAGCAUUCUGGGAAUUUUUUUUCCCGUGGAUUCUAGCAUUUUCUCGAGAUUCGACAUCUUCCUAUGUUUUUAAUUCUGAUCUUAUGUUUGGAUAUUUUAGAUCUUCGAAUUUCUAUGAUAAAGUGUUAACCUUUUCUCAAAUAAAGGUUUUGUGAAAAUUUGCUUUUUGAUGCUGCUCUAUGAUGAUUCUUUUUGCUUUAACCACACUGAAAAGAUGGGGUUGAGAAUGUGAUUUUGCUCUUCUUGAUUCAAACCAGAGAAAGAUUAGAUUUGAUCUCGGAGUUUCUUGAUGACACUUUGAUCUAAGUUGCUUGAAGGGGAUUCUUUUUCUCCUUUGUGGUUUAGAUUAAGGUAGAGAGUAAUGUCGAGCUCUUAUCAACAUUUUUCAUGGUUUGAGGCUUGAAGAACAUUCACGUUUUUCAAGCUCACUCAUGUGGACAACCUUGGCCCUUGUCUGAGAAGCAGCUUUUUCUCAUAUUCAGUUUUUCUAAAUUUGUUGUUUUAAAAAAAAAAAUUGGUUUGUUUUUUUGGCUGUUCUAUGAUGAUUAUAUUGCUUUAACCACACUGAAAAGAUGGGCUUGAGAAUGUGAUGUGGUUCUUCUUGAUUUAAUCCAAAGAAAGAGUUCUUGAGCUAUAUGUAUUGCUUGAUGACACUUUGAUCUAAAAUACUUGAAGGGGAUUUGUUUCCCUUUGUGUUUUAGAUCAAGGAAGAGAUCAGUGUAGAGCUCUUGUUCGAUAUUUUUCUUAGUUUAAAUCUUGAAGAACAUUAUCAUUUUCUCAAGCACUCAUAUGUGGAAUCAUUGUGCCCUUUGUCUGAGAAGCAGCUAUGAAUUCUGUUUUUGUCUUCGAUAUUGUUAAACGUAGCUGAUUUGUAAGAUUACUUUGUGAUCUUUUUUGGAUGCUUGAUAUGUAUCCAACCAAGAGUGGGUUUCUUCUUACAAAGAUAUUGAGUUAGGAAUUUUAAUGUCAUUUUAUGUUCGAAUUGGGGAAAAUUCACAAAAAAUUGGGAAAAUAGAAGAGAGCAUUAUUCGAUGUUUACCACAUGGUGGAAUAAUUUGACAGAACAAUGUACUUUGGGAAUGACAUAUGGAACAAACUGUGUAAACCAAUUUGAUGAUGAAGGUGAACGAGUUACAUAUAGGAGACUUACACUUCCAUAAUAAUAUUCAGAAACUAUAUGAAAGUGUAUCUUUCUUUAUUACUAAAACUCUUUUCUAAUAAGAAAUGUGUAAACUAUGUAACUCGGCAACGGUUCCAGACUCUCUAAUCCUAAAUCAAUGUUAAAGGCGUAAGGCUCUUGAACCUGUUCAUUGUGAGCUUUGAACUAAGUAUUCAAUUUUUUGGACAAUCCGAAAAACACAACAGUAUAACUACAAAUGGAUUAGUCCCAUUUGGGCGUAGUCUCAUUCGUUUGGACGAGAAACACAACGAAAAACCUAGCCAAUUUUGUUGUUCUCAUGUAUGGGCUUAAUUGGGGACUAAUCCAUCUGUGGUUCCCCUUGUUUCCAUAGUUCGUAAUUUUAUUCGUUUUUCGUCUUAAGUUUUCCCUUCUUUAGGUUUAGUUUCCGGAGAUAUUUUUGUUUUCCGCCGGCUUUGUGUUUCAAAUUUGUAUUCCACCCUUUGUAUUUCACAACCUAUAAUACAAUGGAAAAAUUCUGGAUGAAAAAAAGAAAAAGAACACAGUAUAUAGAAAAAUCUGAAUCACAGUACUAACAUCAUUGAUUUUCUGCUACAAAAAUGAGUGUACACUGAUUCUUAAAAUAGAUACGGGCUAUAACAUAACAAAAAGAAAAAGUGGGGGAUGGCUUUUGCAAUAAUCUCGAAAGAGUUUCUCACUCACAUCACACCCUUGGUUUAUAAAUAAAACUCAUUGAUCUUGACGGUGAAAAUAUCGCCACCUGUUAAUUUGUAAAAAGGUUUCAGUACACUUAGCUACACUGGAUCCAAGUCUAGUGCUAAACUCAAACCUCGUGGUUUUAGACCAAAAUCUCUUCUUCUUCGUUUCCUUCUUCCUCAUCAUAUCUUUCAUCUUCUCCACCAGAAUUUGUUUUAGGCUCUCCUUCUUCUGUUUCUUUUUCUCCCAAAGAAACAAUUAGAUAUGGAGAACCUUACCCUAGUUUCUUGCUCAGCUUCUUCUCCAAAGCUGUUAAUUGGAUGCAAUUUCACUUCCUCGCUGAAAAACCCUACUGGGUUUUCUCGUCGGACUCCUAAUAUUGUCCUCCGGUGUUCCAAAAUAUCUGCCUCUGCUCAAUCUCAAUCUCCCUCUUCGCGUCCGGAGAACACUGGAGAAAUCGGUUAGUUUGCAAAUUCCACUCGACACUCUAUUAUAGCAAAUGCCAAAAUUUUCCGGAAAAAUUUCCAGUUUAUUACUUUUAUCUAUCUUAUUGAAACUCAAAUUGCGAACCCUUUUCGACUGGUUUAAUAUGAGCUUAUGAAUUGCUAUAUCUCUUAAAAAAAUCCACACUUUGUGAAUUUGCAAUUUGAAUUCUUGUAGAAACCAUUCAUUGUUAGAAUUGUUUACUUUAAGUUUAUGUUCGAUUUGCAGUGGUUGUGAAACAGAGAAGCAAAGCUUUUGCAAGUAUAUUUUCUUCGAGUCGUGAUCAACAGACAACUUCUGUUGCUUCCCCUAGUGUGCCUGUGCCACCACCAUCUUCAUCAACCAUGUAAUUUUCCUGGUUUUGGACAAUGUGCUUAGUUUGUAUGUCGUUUGAUUCUUGGUUAUUAAAUUGUGUUUUUUCUUUUUUCUUGUAGAGGAUCACCACUUUUCUGGAUUGGUGUUGGUGUUGGUCUAUCAGCUUUGUUCUCAUAUGUGAGUAUCAAGAUUCCUUCCUAAUUUUUUUUUCCUCUAUAAAUAUUCUUUCUUGCUUCAAUAUUGAUUAAUAAGUGCUUGACCUUUUUUCUUUUCUGAUGGCAUUGCAGGUAACUUCAAAUUUAAAGGUACAGAUACUUGGCCCUCUGGUUUUACGGGACUUUUGUUCUCUAGUCUGUUGCAGAACCACGAUUUUAUGCUUCAUGUCAACUCUAGUGUAUUGUGCUCAUGUAUCUGAGAUAGUUUUAUUCACUAAACUGGUUAUCUUAACAAGGUGAACUGUUUGCUCACACUUGUUGAACCGUUUAUAUAAGCAUCGAACUUUUGCCUCUCUUUUUUUGGGUAGUCACUUGAUUCGUAGAUGGUAACCUACAUACCAUUAUGGUUUUAGUGAUGCAACUCAGGUAUUCAGACUUAUAGUCAUUUUCGCAACUCCAGUAUUUGAUUGAAAUAUAUUAUACAAGUUGUCAUUGCUUUCUCUCAUUAUUCUCUAACCGGCUGUUACUCUCUUUGGAUUUUUUUUUUUGCUUUGGUUUAGAAAUAUGCAAUGCAAACAGCUAUGAAGACGAUGAUGAACCAAAUGAAUACGCAAAAUAGCCAGUUUAAUAAUUCUGGAUUCCCAUCAGGAUCACCUUUUCCGUUUCCAUUUCCUCCUCAAACAAGUCCUGCUUCCUCGCCAUUCCAAUCUCAAUCCCAGUCUUCAGGUGCUACCGUUGAUGUGACAGCGACAAAAGUAGAGACACCUCCUUCAACUAAACCGAAACCUACACCUGCAAAGGAUAUAGAGGUGGAUAAGCCAAGUGUUGUCUUAGAGGCAAGCAAAGAGAAGAAAGAAGAAAAGAACUAUGGUAGAUUCUUUUUCUGUUUCAGAAAUCAACGUCUUUUCAUUUGUAUUCUCAAUUUUGACUUUCUUCCUUUCUCAUUUUCCAAGCUUCUAACUUGGAAGCUGAUUUACUUUUGGAUGCAGCCUUUGAAGACAUUUCACCCGAGGAAACCACAAAAGAAAGCCCAUUUAGCAACUAUGCAGAAGUCUCUGAAACUAAUUCCCCCAAAGAAACUCGCUUGUUUGAGGAUGUAAGUUUCGUUUUCUUUUGUAUUUCCACAGCACACCAAGUGGUGAUUUAAAAACGUGACAUAGUUUUGCUAACCUUCUAUGCUCUCUUAUUGAUCUCUGGGUGAAGGUCUUGCAAAAUGGAGCUGGUCCGGCAAAUGGUGCCACUGCUUCAGAGGUUUUUCAAUCUUUGGGUGAGUUAUUGAAUUUCAGUUUUCAUCACUAUCAGCGCACUGUGCAUGAUUCAUGAUUAAGGCUACGGAUUUCAAUUUUAUUUUAUAGCAUAUGCCAACAAUUAUAAACAAAGGAAGAUAUGAAAUUGGUGAUAAAGAGGAAUGAGUUGGCUUCAAAAGGAUCUACUCCGUUACUUUUGUCCUUCUGCUAGUCGUUGAUCUGUAUUGGUAUAACCAUAUAAGACUUGCAGGAUAUUACCUUGGCAAUCUGUUUCAUAUCUCAUGUGUUAUGAUUCUUUUUUCUUAUAUGCUCACGUUAUUGUCUCUCUUUUCCUUAUUCUAAAUUUAAAACUGAAUCCUGAGUCUGUCUAUUGUUUACACAGGUGGUGGGAAAGGAGGGCCGGGUUUAUCUGUAGAAGCUUUAGAGAAAAUGAUGGAAGAUCCAACAGUCCAGAAGAUGGUUUACCCGUAACUCAUCUUCCCUAGCACAUUGUCUUUAAAUGCAUCCAUUAAGUUUAUCUUUAAAACUGGUUGCUUAGUGGACAUUUGGUAACAUUGCAUGUAUAAAUGCAGAUACUUGCCUGAGGAGAUGAGGAACCCAGAAACUUUCAAAUGUAAGUCUUUUAAUAUUUAAUCCUGCUAUCAUUCUUUUAUUAGUCCUCAUUUUUACAUAUUUCUAAAGACUAAAGGUUACAUGACUAGCUUUUGAAUGAUGUAAUUCGUUUAUAGGUUGAUCCAAUGGUUAUCUAAAUUUAAAAUACAGUUUGGUACUUAUUGUCUCCGCUUGGAAUUUUGUAGGGAUGCUUAAAAAUCCUCAGUACCGUCAACAACUACAGGACAUGUUGUAAGAGCUCCAUUUUACGAACAAUUUAGUUGUUUCCAUUGCUUUUAAGAAUGUCUAAACUAUGUAAUUAAGAAAUACUCUUGUUUGUUUCUUUUCAUGAAUUUAGGAAUAAUAUGAGUGGGAGUGGUGAAUGGGACAAGCGAAUGACAGAUACAUUGAAGAAUUUUGACCUGAAUAGUCCUGAAGUGAAGCAACAAUUCAGUAAGACAAAUCUCAGUUUGUACCAAGUUAAUAGUACGUUAAAUAGGUCUGAUACUCAAUGAUUGAAUCUGUAUUUGUCAGAUCAAAUAGGACUAACUCCAGAAGAAGUCAUAUCUAAGAUCAUGGAGAACCCUGAUGUUGCCAUGGCAUUCCAGAAUCCUAGAGUCCAAGCAGCGUUAAUGGAAGUACGUUUUCUUUUAACCUGAAUAAGAGAAUUGCUUAAUUUUACCCCACUUCUUUCUUCAUACAAAACAGAAACCAAUUACAUUCUUGUUGUUGUUGCAGUGCUCAGAGAACCCAAUGAACAUCAUGAAGUACCAAAACGACAAAGAGGUAAUAAUACUGCCACUUCUCCAUUGCCCAAAAAGGCGAUUACUUUUUUAAGAAAUUUGAGGUUAUUAUACAUUGAUUGCAGGUAAUGGAUGUGUUCAACAAGAUAUCGCAGCUCUUCCCAGGAAUGACGGGUUGAAAAAGCUCACGUCUUUGGUUCUAUCAAAAAUGUCACAUUGUCUUUAGCUUUUUGUAGGGAGAAAAAAAUGUUUUUUUUUUUGCAAAGAGUCUUCAGUUUUGGUCAGAUCAGAGAAUUGUGUACCAUGUUAAUCUUAAACGCGGUCGGGAAUUGGAGUCGUGUGAAAACGCCGCUGCUGUUGUUUGGUAUGAAUAUUAUACAAUAGAAUUUGUUGUCUUACCAAAAAAAGUCUAUGAAGACACUGAAGAGCAAAUUAUUAUUUUUAAGGGAAAAUUUCCAAAAUAAACUUCAUGUAUUCAAAAUUUGCUUGAAAAAACCUCAAUUUUUUUUGUUUGAGAUUGUGUGAAUAAAUCUGCCAAUAUUUUGUUUUAGCAAUUUAAAAAAUUGAAGUUUUUUUCUCGCAAAUUUUAAAUAGUUGUGAUUUAUUUUGGAAUUUUACCUUAUUUUUAAUAUCCAAAAGGAGAAGUGACGUGGCGAUAUCGAAGCGGUUUAAUGAAGUGAUGGCCCCAUCUUAAAGAAAUCAAUGACCCUUAUCGUUCCACUUCUAUCGGAGUCGGAGUUUUUUUUUGUUGUUGUUGUAUUCCGUACGUCGGUCGUUGUCGGGAGAAUUGGCGCGUGAAAUCCUUGGCUCCGUCGAAUACGUCUGCCUCCGACGGCUGUGAGUCGCAUGAUUGAGUCGUGGGUAAGUAUCCUUGUGACUUCAAAUUUGUAUUUCCGUUCUUUAUAAUCCCCUGACUCUUGAGAAAAUCGAGGAGAAAAAACCAUCCUUGCUUGGUAUUCAUUUGAAGAGUGUUUUAGUUAUAAAAUCGUAAUGUUUGACGGUAUGUGAUAUUCUGUGAGCAUGAUUAUUCAGAAAGCUUUUGUCUUUUUAGUAAAUAUUGUCUCUUUCUUAGUCUUAGGUAAUGUAACCUCAAGAACUCUAUGCGAGAACAUUACACAUUAUCUUUGGAAUUGGAUAUUAUAUUGUUAAAGUUUAAUCAUUGAUGAAAGUUGCAAAGAGUUAUGAUGACUCCGUUUUGGGAUUGUCUUACCGUUGUCUUUCUGGUUUUAAUGCUUAGGUUUCUCUUGAUGAAGUCUAGAAGUGAAAGUAAGAAUUGUAGGCUUGCACAAGCCUCUAGAGUAGCAGUCAACAAAGUUCUAGACAAAAGCAGCGCCCGUGGCUCUCGAGGCAAGAAGAAGCAAGAUGAUAACUGUGAUUCCGCUAAGGUUUGUUCUUCUAUUCAUGCAAACAACAUUAUUGUUAUAAUGAUUUCACUAUGUUUACCAGGGUACUUAAGAUGUUAGAAGCAACGAAUUCUAUUGAUUGUUUUCAAGGUUUCCUUGAAGAUUGUGAAGUCCGUGGUACUACUAACCAAUUAUCAAUGGCUGUUAAAAAUAGUUUCCUUGUCCUAUGCCUAAAGAUUUUCUUGGGACAGUGGAGAUUUUUGUCUUAUCUAGUCCUAUGUUGUCCGGGAGUGUAAAAUUAUUUAAUACUCUUCUAUCAUUGCAGCGGGAUAAAGGCGUAAACGGUAAGGGAAAGCAAGCGCUCGACGCAAGAUUGAUUGAUAACGUUCUAGAGGACAGGGGAUGUGGUAAUGUUGAUGAUGAUGAAAUGAAUGAUUCAGACUGGGAAGACUGUCCAAUCCCUAGUCUUGAUAGUACGGUUGAUGAUAAUAAUGUUGAUGACACCAGAGAGCUAACCAUAGAAUUUGAUGAUGAUGUUCCUGAUGCUAAGAAGCAGAAGAAUGCAUACCGUGCAACAGCAGAAGACAAGGUAUACUGUGCUUAGGAAACACAAUAUGCUUACUUUUGUUUAUUCUUUAAAAUGUGGUUGCUUUAGAGAUUUGUGCUUUGUCUCAAAGGUACGGGCGGAACUUGUCCAUAAGGUGCACUUGCUCUGUCUGCUUGCAAGAGGGAGGAUAGUUGACAGUGCUUGUAAUGAUCCCUUGAUUCAGGUGAAUAAAUUGAAUACAACAGUGUUAGCAGUUGCUUCAAAGUUAAAUUUUUCAUAUUGCAACCUGCGAUAUAAAGUUUAGUUUUUACAUUUAACGUGCAGGCUGCCUUGCUUUCACUUCUACCAUCAUACUUGACAAAAGUAUCAAAUCUCGAGAAAGUUACUGUCAAGGAUAUAGCCCCUCUUCUUCGUUGGGUAUGGAUUUACUGGCAUGUAGCUUUUGUUUUGUUCUAAUGGAAAGGUUAAACAAAUGUUCCCUGGUUUAAAUUGUAGGUUCGUGAAAACUUUUCUGUUAGUUGUUCUCCCAGUUCUGAGAAAUCUUUUCGUACAUCCCUAGCAUUUGCUCUUGAAUCUCGUAAAGGCACAGCGGAAGAGGUAAGCUUGGGAUCAGAUUUAUGCCAUUGAACCUUUUCAUUAUAUGGUUACUUGUAUUGUUGAAACCUCUGUUUACGAAACUUAUGGAAACAUUUUUGCAGCUUGCAGCACUGGCUGUUGCUUUGCUUAGAGCAUUAAAGCUCACAACCCGGUAUGUGAUACUUGUUAUGUUGCCACAAUAUAGUAUUUCUAUUUGGUUUCUGAGCUUGGUUGUGAAUCUGUUUUUUACUGUGUAUCAAUGACACCUUGUCUAAAGUGGCAUAUGAGAACUCCAUUCUUGCAUGUUAAUGAGUUUCCUCAGUCCUAUUUGGCUAAUUAUUUAGAUCCAUAACGUUCAUUGACAUUAUGCUUUUCAAGAUUAAUCUUGGUCAGAUAACUAUUUACGGUACCAUCGUUUCUGGAGUGUUACUUAUUUAUAAUACUUACAGCUUAGUAUGCCAAGCGUGUUUCGAGUUUUUUGUAAUAAGUUGAGUUUUACAGGUUUGUGUCUAUUCUUGAUGUUGCAUCCUUAAAACCUGGGGCCGAUAGGAAUGAAUCAUCAGGUCAAAACAGAGCUAAAAUGAAGCAUGGGAUAUUCAGGACGUCAACACUUAUGGUACCAAAACAGCAGGCCAUCUCGUCAUACCCGAAGAAAUCUUCCUCCCAUGUUAAGAAUAAAAGUCCCUUUGAAAAGCCUCAGCUUGGGAAUCCCCUGGGCUCUGAUCAGGUACAAGACAAUGCAGUCAAUUCAUCUUGUGAAGCAGGAAUGUCCAUAAAAUCUGACGGAACAAGGAGGAAAGGAGAUGUUGAGUUCGAGAGGCAAAUAGCCAUGGCUUUGUCUGCAACUGCAGACAACCAACAGAGCUCUCAAGUGAACAAUACGAAGAAAGUUCGUGAAAUAACAAAAAUAAGUAAUAGCUCGUCAGUUUCUGACCAAGUAAUAUCCACGGCUUUCGGUUCUAAGAAAGUAGAUUCUCCCCUUUGUUGGCUUGAGGUGUAUUGCAAUGGGGAAAACAUGGAUGGGAAAUGGGUCCAUGUCGAUGCUGUUAAUGGAAUGAUAGAUGCAGAGCAAAACAUUGAAGCAGCAGCUGCCGCAUGCAAAACCGUUCUCAGAUAUGUUGUUGCAUUUGCUGCUGGUGGAGCUAAAGAUGUCACUCGCAGGUUUUCUAUUGACUGUAUUACAGUUACUUUGUUGUUGGACAAUUAACAUCUUCUAUUUUUACAUAUCCUUUGCUUGCAAAGUGCAAACAGUUUCCAUUUCUAGAUACUUCUUUACAUCUAAUUCCCUCUGACACUUUUCUUAUUCAGGUACUGUACAAAGUGGCACACUAUUUCAUCCAAACGGGUGUCUUCAGUGUGGUGGGAUAUGGUAUUAGCACCGUUAGUACAUCUCGAGUCAGGUGCAACUCACGAUGAAGACAUUGCUCUGAGAAAUUUCAAUGGCCUAAAUCCUGUUUCUAGUAGAGCUUCCUCGAGUAGCUCGUCGUUUGGUAUAAGGAGUGCUCUUGAAGAUAUGGAGUUGGCUACACGGGCGCUGACUGAGUCUCUUCCUACUAACCAGCAGGUAAAGUGGGUGUAACCUGACAAAUAAAUUUAAAGCUCAUACUUCAUUUAAACCCUUCAGCUAAAAAAAUCCCUUUAUUUAAACUUGCAGGCUUAUAAAAGUCAUGAAAUAUAUGCUAUUGAGAAAUGGCUUCACAAGAACCAGAUACUUCACCCAAAAGGUCCAGUUCUGGGAUUUUGCUCUGGUCAUCCAGUAUAUCCUCGAACCUGUGUGCAGACUCUUAAAACAAAAGAAAGAUGGCUUCGUGAUGGGCUACAACUUAAGGCGAAUGAAGUUCCCUCAAAGGUUUCCGUGUUUUAUUCUCUCCCUGAUGAUUAUCUUAGUCGUUCCCCUUUUUUUUCGGUUUGAUGAUCAACUCUUGAAGUCCAUUAUUACCUUAGAUUCUUAAGCGAAACUCGAAGUUCAAGAAAGUAAAAGAUUUUGAAGAUGGCGACAACAACAUUAAAGGUGGUUCUUCUUGCAUGGAACUAUAUGGGAAGUGGCAAAUGGAACCAUUGUGUCUCCCUCCCGCUGUUAAUGGAAUUGUGCCCAAGGUAAAACAAAUGUUGUUGUAUUUGUCCUUGUUUAUAUCGCUUCUGCAGUUGCAACUUCAUCAAUACUUUAAAACAAAACAUACUUUGUAGACGGGAAUAGUGUAUAAAUGUAUAAUCCUUAUGUUUUUUUCAGAACGAGCGCGGUCAAGUUGAUGUCUGGUCUGAGAAAUGUCUCCCACCUGGAACAGUCCACUUAAGGUUUCCUCGAAUAUUUGCGGUUGCUAAGAGAUUCGGUAUAGAUUAUGCACCUGCCAUGGUUGGUUUCGAGUACAGAAGUGGAGGUGCUACUCCUAUUUUUGAAGGUAUUGUGGUCUGUACCGAGUUCAAAGACACAAUCCUCGAGGUAUAAUCUCUUUAAUUUUCAAUCUGAAACAGAGUACCAUGUUUUGAAUAUGGAUCCGUUGGUUAUAUCUUGUUUUUCUUGUUGUUUUGGUUAGGCAUAUGCAGAAGAACAAGAAAAGAAAGAAGAAGAGGAGAGAAGAAGAAAUGAGGCACAAGCAGCUUCGAGAUGGUAUCAGCUUCUUUCGUCUAUCUUAACCCGUGAAAGAUUGAAAAACCGUUACGCUAAUAACUCUAACGAUGUCGAAGCCAAGAGUUUGGAAGUGAAUUCAGAAACAGUCGUUAAGGCAAAGAAUGUGAAAGCACCUGAAAAGCAGAGAGUGGCUAAGAGAGGAGAAAAGUCACGAGUAAGAAAGUCUCGUAAUGAAGAUGAAAGUCAUGAACAUGUGUUUCUUGAUGA